GAUGAACGCUGGCGGCGUGCCUAAUACAUGCAAGUCGAGCGAACGGACGAGAAGCUUGUUUUUCUGAGGUUAGCGGCGGACGGGUGAGUAACGCGUGGAUAACCUACCUAUAAGACUGGGAUAACUUCGGGAAACCGGUGCUAAUACCGGAUAAUAUUUUGAACCGCAUGGUUCAAGAGUGAAAGACGCUCUUGCCGCCACUAAUAGAUGGAUCCCGGCUUCUUUGGUUAGUUGGUAAGGAAAGGCCUCACCAAGGCAACGAUCAUUAGCCGACCGGAGAGGGUGUCCGGCCACACUGGAACUGAACAACGGUCCAGACUCCUACGGGAGGCAGCAGUAGGGAAUCUUGGCAAAUGGGCGAAAGCCUGACGGAGAAACGCCGCGUGAGUGAUGAAGGUCUUCGGAUCGUAAAACUCUGUUGUUGGGGAAGAAGAUAUGUGGAAGUGACUGUGCACAUCUUGACGGUAACUAAUCAGAAAGCCACGGCUAACUACGUG
RNAcentral lists this ribosomal RNA (497 nucleotides) under uncultured bacterium. RNAcentral's name for it is "partial 16S ribosomal RNA". It matches the Rfam family "Bacterial small subunit ribosomal RNA", at positions 28 to 507 of the family's 1533-position model. The record is from RNAcentral.